Molecule: ribosomal RNA, 31 nt
Filed under: Yarrowia lipolytica
Lineage: Eukaryota; Fungi; Ascomycota; Dipodascomycetes; Dipodascales
Also listed under: 2 other names
Description: partial 18S ribosomal RNA
Source: RNAcentral
UCCGUAGGUGAACCUGCGGAAGGGAUCAUUA